RNAcentral lists this ribosomal RNA (523 nucleotides) under Halecium sp. bth.15.38. RNAcentral describes it as "partial large subunit ribosomal RNA". It matches the Rfam family "Bacterial large subunit ribosomal RNA", at positions 1801 to 2505 of the family's 2925-position model. Lineage: Eukaryota; Metazoa; Cnidaria; Hydrozoa; Leptothecata; Haleciidae. The record is from RNAcentral.
UGUUUACCAAAAACAUAGCCCUAGACAAUAUCUAAGGUGUAACCUGCCCAGUGAUUUUAAAAUUAAAGUAUUUAAAUAAUAUUUAAUAAAAUUAAAAGGACGCGGUAACCUUGACCGUGGUAAUGUAGCAUAAUCAUUCGCCAUUUAAUUGAUGGAUAGUAUGAAUGGUUGAACGAAUAUUUCACUGUCUUGGAUAGAAAUUAUUAAAAAUUGAAAUAAUAGUAAAGAUGCUAUUUCAAAUUGUAAGACGAAAAGACCCUAUAGAGCUUAACUAUAAUUUCUCUAAAAAUAAUAAUAAAAUAAAUUAUUAUAUAGGGAAUGUAGGUAGUUUAGUUGGGGCGACUGUCUUCUAGAAUAAACGAAGAUAAGCAAUUAUUAAAGAUUAAUUUAUUGUAUAAUCAAUAUAUUUAACAAUUAUGAAAGUAGGUUUAGUGACCCGUUAUAUUUUUAUAAUAAAGAAUAACGAUCAAUAAAUAAAAGCUACCUUAGGGAUAACAGGAUAAUUUUAUCUUAGAGAUCUUAU